Molecule: ribosomal RNA, 98 nt
Filed under: uncultured marine bacterium
Lineage: Bacteria
Description: partial small subunit ribosomal RNA
Rfam family: Bacterial small subunit ribosomal RNA
Source: RNAcentral
CAACGCGCAGAACCUUACCAGGACUUGACAUACUGCAGAUUCUUUUGAGAAAAAGAAGUGCCUUCGGGAAUGCAGAUACAGGUGCUGCAUGGCCGUCG